Molecule: ribosomal RNA, 520 nt
Filed under: uncultured Glomeromycotina
Lineage: Eukaryota; Fungi; Glomeromycota
Description: SSU rRNA
Rfam family: Eukaryotic small subunit ribosomal RNA
Source: RNAcentral
AGCAGCCGCGGUAAUUCCAGCUCCAAUAGCGUAUAUUAAAGUUGUUGCAGUUAAAAAGCUCGUAGUUGAAUUUCGGGGUUUAUCCGUUGGUCGGGCUUUUGGGUCUGUACUGGCGUGAUGGAUUCCUACCUUCUGAAUAACCAGCAUGUCAUUAAUUUGGUGCGUUGGGGAAGCAGGACUGUUACCUUGAAAAAAUUAGAGUGCUUAAAGCAGGCUAUUGCCUGAAUACAUUAGCAUGGAAUAAUGAAAUAGGACGUAUGGUUCUAUUUUGUUGGUUUCUAGGAUCACCGUAAUGAUUAAUAGGGAUAGUUGGGGGCAUUAGUAUUCAAUUGUCAGAGGUGAAAUUCUUGGAUUUAUUGAAGACUAACUUCUGCGAAAGCAUUUGCCAAGGAUGUUUUCAUUAAUCAAGAACGAAAGUUAGGGGAUCGAAGACGAUCAGAUACCGUCGUAGUCUUAACCAUAAACUAUGCCGACUAGGGAUCGGACGAUGUUAAAUUUUUUAAUGACUCGUUCGGCGCCU